GCGGCUGUGGUGAAGUGGUUAACACACUGGAUUGUGGCUCCAGCAUUCGUGGGUUCGAGCCCCACCAGUCGCC
RNAcentral lists this transfer RNA (73 nucleotides) under Selenomonas sputigena ATCC 35185. It matches the Rfam family "tRNA". From Rfam's summary of the family: Transfer RNA (tRNA) molecules are approximately 80 nucleotides in length. Lineage: Bacteria; Bacillati; Bacillota; Negativicutes; Selenomonadales; Selenomonadaceae. The record is from Rfam by way of RNAcentral.